GCCAGUGAUGAAAGUCUGGAAUAGGAAGUGCCGUCUGAUGCGAUAAAUGACGAUGUUUCUAAUCCACUGUUC
Small nucleolar RNA from Boleophthalmus pectinirostris (great blue-spotted mudskipper), 72 nucleotides. RefSeq annotates it as small nucleolar RNA SNORD49. The transcript has a single exon. Lineage: Eukaryota; Metazoa; Chordata; Actinopteri; Gobiiformes; Gobiidae. The record is from RefSeq and is a predicted model, not a curated record.